Molecule: long non-coding RNA, 521 nt
Organism: Orbicella faveolata
Lineage: Eukaryota; Metazoa; Cnidaria; Anthozoa; Scleractinia; Merulinidae
Source: RefSeq, a predicted model, not a curated record
AAUUUACCCCUUUUCGGGCCCCACCGUAGGGAUUUUGACCAAAAAUUCAUCUGAAAUUUCAAAUGCCCCAUUUAUGUCUAGGGCUCCCAUCUCGGGCUUAGCAUUGAUAGACGGAUUAUUUACUUAGUUCGCUAUUUUAUCAUUUUUUUUAGAUCCUUGUGGGGCAAUCAGAUUGAAGAAUUACCUGUCAUUAUCUUUCAGAACGUACCUGUAACAUUCUCUUUGGAUUUGUCUAAGAAUAAGCUAACUUCCAUACCAGAUAACGCGUUUUCUGCGUGCAAGAAUUUAACACAGUUGAUGCUCAGCUUUAAUUUAAUCUCCCAAAUCAACAAUCGCACCUUUGCUGGGCUCAAGAAUCUACGGAUACUGUAAGUGACUGUUGAUUUUGUCAACUGGUACUUAAUAACGAAGAAAACUUUUUAGUUACUUUGCAAUUUUUGUGAAUUCUUUUAUCGUUUCGAUUCUUCAAGCCAAGUGAUAAAAUGAAUUGAUCACUCACCUUGGCACCAAAAUAUAGUCGA